This 880-nucleotide ribosomal RNA is filed under the name uncultured Chitinophaga sp. Its description in RNAcentral is "bacterial SSU rRNA". It matches the Rfam family "Bacterial small subunit ribosomal RNA", at positions 56 to 935 of the family's 1533-position model. Lineage: Bacteria; Pseudomonadati; Bacteroidota; Chitinophagia; Chitinophagales; Chitinophagaceae. The record is from RNAcentral.
UGCAGUCGAGGGGGAUUAACUGGGUAGCAAUACUCGGUUAUGAGACCGGCAAACGGGUGCGGAACACGUACGCAACCUUCCCAAAACUGGUGAAUAGCCCUCCGAAAGGAGGAUUAAUACACCGUAACUUAAUGAAGUGGCAUCACUUUAUUAAUAUAGCUCCGGCGGUUUUGGAUGGGCGUGCGCCUGAUUAGGUAGUUGGCGGGGUAACGGCCCACCAAGCCUACGAUCAGUAACUGGUGUGAGAGCACGACCAGUCACACGGGCACUGAGACACGGGCCCGACUCCUACGGGAGGCAGCAGUAAGGAAUAUUGGUCAAUGGACGCAAGUCUGAACCAGCCAUGCCGCGUGAAGGAUGACGGCCCUCUGGGUUGUAAACUUCUUUUAUCUGGGACGAAAAAAGAUCAUUCUUGAUCACUUGACGGUACCAGAGGAAUAAGCACCGGCUAACUCCGUGCCAGCAGCCGCGGUAAUACGGAGGGUGCAAGCGUUAUCCGGAUUUACUGGGUUUAAAGGGUGCGUAGGUGGGCCUGUAAGUCAGUGGUGAAAUCUUCGAGCUUAACUCGGAAACUGCCAUUGAUACUAUAGGUCUUGAAUCAUCUGGAGGUGAGCGGAAUAUGUCAUGUAGCGGUGAAAUGCUUAGAUAUGACAUAGAACACCGAUUGCGAAGGCAGCUCACUACGGAUGUAUUGACACUGAGGCACGAAAGCGUGGGGAUCAAACAGGAUUAGAUACCCUGGUAGUCCACGCCCUAAACGAUGGAUACUCGACAUUUGCGAUAUACUGUAAGUGUCUGAGCGAAAGCAUUAAGUAUCCCACCUGGGAAGUACGAUCGCAAGAUGAAACUCAAAGGAAUUGACGGGGUCGCACAGCGGUGA